UGAGGGACUUCAGGCUUGUGGCGGCGGCUGGCAGCAGAGCAGCAUUGUGAAGUGCCCAAUUGAUGAAGAGUGAAGACGGUGGUGGUCAUCCUUCUCUCCAGAUGUGUGUCCAUUCUCCAACAGAACAGGACCCGCCAACCCCGCUGACACUCCCCGCGGCGAUGGCCAUGAGAGGCGGGAUUGCUCUGAGAGGACCACGGUGUUCUCACUCUUACGGCAAGAUGAAGCUGAGAGGCGGUGUGUGAAAACUGACACAGCAGAAACUGAAGCUCGGAG
This is a long non-coding RNA of Scylla paramamosain (green mud crab), 276 nucleotides long. RefSeq lists it as uncharacterized. The record is from RefSeq and is a predicted model, not a curated record. The transcript is spliced from 5 exons. Lineage: Eukaryota; Metazoa; Arthropoda; Malacostraca; Decapoda; Portunidae.